GGGCCAUGCAUUGGUAUACACGCCGCAAUACAGAGACUCAGUCCAACCACAGCGAGGAUAUAGGCUAUCACCUGAAUAACCAAUAUGGCAAUGACGAAGGAGGUUAAUCCAAUCGCUGUACUAAACACAUAGUAGUGAAGUAAUAUUAAUAUCCCUGUAGAAGUCACAAUUAAACCAAGGCCAGUAGCAUUCUUUAAUGAAUAUUCACCUGGGACGAAAAGAAUGGCUCCAACAAUGACAAUGACAGUGAUCAC
This 254-nucleotide unclassified non-coding RNA is filed under the name Hevea brasiliensis (rubber tree). Lineage: Eukaryota; Viridiplantae; Streptophyta; Magnoliopsida; Malpighiales; Euphorbiaceae. The record is from RNAcentral.